This is a long non-coding RNA of Erinaceus europaeus (western European hedgehog), 122 nucleotides long. RefSeq lists it as uncharacterized. NCBI's taxonomy places the organism in Eukaryota, Metazoa, Chordata, Mammalia, Eulipotyphla, Erinaceidae. The record is from RefSeq and is a predicted model, not a curated record. The transcript is spliced from 3 exons.
UGCUCAGCCUGGAGCUGAAAACCAUCCUGACUCAGAGGAGCACAGAGACUCGAGCCAUCUGUCUCUCAGCAACAUCAGCAGGGAGUCACCUGAGGGAGAAGAGGAUGAGUACUCCCUGGAUG